GACGAACGCUGACGGCGUGCUUAACACAUGCAAGUCGAGCGAUGAAACACCUUCGGGUGCGGAUUAGCGGCGAACGGGUGAGGAGCACGUGAGGAAUCUGCCUUCCACUCUGGGAUAACUCCGGGAAACCGGGGCUAAUCCCGGAUACUUUCAACUGGCGGCAUCGCCGGUUGAAGAAAGUUGUUCGGUGGAAGAUGACCUCGCGGCCUAUCAGCUUGUAGGUGAGGUAAGGGCUCACCAAGGCGACGACGGGUAGCCGGCCUGAGAGGGCGACCGGCCACACUGGGACUGAGACACGGCACAGACUCCUACGGGAGGCAGCAGUGGGGAAUAUUGGGCAAUGGAGGAAACUCUGACCCAGCGACGCCGCGUGAGGGAUGAAGGCCUUCGGGUUGUAAACCUCUUUCAGCAGGGAAUAAGCGAAAGUGAAGGUACCUGCAGAAGAAGCACCGGCUAACUAUGUGCCAGCAGCCGCGGUAA
Molecule: ribosomal RNA, 480 nt
Filed under: uncultured bacterium
Lineage: Bacteria
Description: partial 16S ribosomal RNA
Rfam family: Bacterial small subunit ribosomal RNA
Source: RNAcentral